GAUGAACGCUGGCGGCGUGCCUAAUACAUGCAAGUCGAGCGAACGGACGAGAAGCUUGCUUCUCUGAUGUUAGCGGCGGACGGGUGAGUAACACGUGGAUAACCUACCUAUAAGACUGGGAUAACUUCGGGAAACCGGAGCUAAUACCGGAUGAUAUUUUGAACCGCAUGGUUCAAAAGUGAAAGACGGUCUUGCUGUCACUUAUAGAUGGAUCCGCGCUGCAUUAGCUAGUUGGUAAGGUAACGGCUUACCAAGGCAACGAUGCAUAGCCGACCUGGGAGGGUGGUCGGCCACGCUGGAACUGAGACACGGUCCAGACUCCUACGGGAGGCAGCAGUAGGGAAUCUUCCGCAAUGGGCGAAAGCCUGACGGAGCAACGCCGCGUGAGUGAUGAAGGUCUUCGGAUCGUAAAACUCUGUUAUUAGGGAAGAACAUAUGUGUAAGUAACUGUGCACAUCUUGACGGUACCUAAUCAGAAAGCCACGGCUAACUACGUG
RNAcentral lists this ribosomal RNA (497 nucleotides) under uncultured bacterium. RNAcentral's name for it is "partial 16S ribosomal RNA". It matches the Rfam family "Bacterial small subunit ribosomal RNA", at positions 28 to 507 of the family's 1533-position model. The record is from RNAcentral.